Molecule: long non-coding RNA, 358 nt
Organism: Dreissena polymorpha
Lineage: Eukaryota; Metazoa; Mollusca; Bivalvia; Myida; Dreissenidae
Exons: 3
Source: RefSeq, a predicted model, not a curated record
AUAAAGAUUUCAAAUUCGGACGAAACUUUGCCGCCAUCUGACACAGAAACACAGCCACCUCUGGAGGAAUGUGGUCAGGAAGUUGAAUGGUCCCAGUCACCUUAGGAUAUUUUGAUUAUUAUUUUUAUAUUCCAUCCUAUGGUGAUCGGAGACUAAGAAAACAGUGUAGACAAAUGAGCGUGCAAUCCAGGAGGGGGAAGUUCUAAAUAACUCGUAUACAGCACUGUUGCAGCUAACCGGGUUUCCUUCUCUGUGUGAAAUGUUUAAUAUAUGUAAAAUAUGUUACUGCAAUCUUUAAUUCUGUCAUAUAAACAAAUAUAUAGUACUUUUUAAUGUGGGGUUAGAUUUUCUUUCAAAA